RNAcentral lists this ribosomal RNA (694 nucleotides) under uncultured archaeon. RNAcentral's name for it is "bacterial SSU rRNA". It matches the Rfam family "Archaeal small subunit ribosomal RNA", at positions 162 to 859 of the family's 1478-position model. The record is from RNAcentral.
CACUACUUCUGGAAUGGGUAAUGACUUAAAUCUAUAUGGCCCCUGGAUUGGACUGCGGCCGAUCAGGCUGUUGGUGAGGUAAUGGCCCACCAAACCUGUAACCGGUACGGGCUCUGAGAGGAGGAGCCCGGAGAUGGGCACUGAGACAAGGGCCCAGGCCCUAUGGGGCGCAGCAGGCGCGAAACCUCUGCAAUAGGCGAAAGCCUGACAGGGUUACUNUGAGUGAUUUCCGUUAAGGAGAUCUUUUGGCACCUCUAAAAAUGGUGCAGAAUAAGGGGUGGGCAAGUCUGGUGUCAGCCGCCGCGGUAAUACCAGCACCCCGAGUGGUCGGGACGUUUAUUGGGCCUAAAGCAUCCGUAGCCGGUUCUACAAGUCUUCCGUUAAAUCCACCUGCUUAACAGAUGGGCUGCGGAAGAUACUAUGGAGCUAGGAGGCGGGAGAGGCAAGCGGUACUCGAUGGGUAGGGGUAAAAUCCGUUGAUCCAUUGAAGACCACCAGUGGCGAAGGCGGCUUGCCAGAACGCGCUCGACGGUGAGGGAUGAAAGCUGGGGGAGCAAACCGGAUUAGAUACCCGGGUAGUCCCAGCUGUAAACGAUGCAGACUCGGUGAUGAAUUGGCUUCAUGCCAAUUCAGUGCCGCAGGGAAGCCGUCAAGUUUGCCGCCUGGGGAGUACGGUCGCAAGACUGAAACUUAA